RNAcentral lists this ribosomal RNA (242 nucleotides) under Salmonella enterica subsp. enterica serovar Heidelberg. RNAcentral's name for it is "partial 16S ribosomal RNA". The record is from RNAcentral. RNAcentral also lists the same sequence under 1 other name. Lineage: Bacteria; Pseudomonadati; Pseudomonadota; Gammaproteobacteria; Enterobacterales; Enterobacteriaceae.
AAAUUGAAGAGUUUGAUCAUGGCUCAGAUUGAACGCUGGCGGCAGGCCUAACACAUGCAAGUCGAACGGUAACAGGAAGCAGCUUGCUGCUUYGCUGACGAGUGGCGGACGGGUGAGUAAUGUCUGGGAAACUGCCUGAUGGAGGGGGAUAACUACUGGAAACGGUGGCUAAUACCGCAUAACGUCGCAAGACCAAAGAGGGGGACCUUCGGGCCUCUUGCCAUCAGAUGUGCCCAGAUGGG